GCUACACAUGCAGUCGAGCGGUAGAGAGAAAGCUUGCUUCUCUUGAGAGCGGCGGACGGGUGAGUAAUGCCUAGGAAUCUGCCUGGUAGUGGGGGAUAACGUUCGGAAACGGACGCUAAUACCGCAUACGUCCUACGGGAGAAAGCAGGGGACCUUCGGGCCUUGCGCUAUCAGAUGAGCCUAGGUCGGAUUAGCUAGUUGGUGAGGUAAUGGCUCACCAAGGCGACGAUCCGUAACUGGUCUGAGAGGAUGAUCAGUCACACUGGAACUGAGACACGGUCCAGACUCCUACGGGAGGCAGCAGUGGGGAAUAUUGGACAAUGGGCGAAAGCCUGAUCCAGCCAUGCCGCGUGUGUGAAGAAGGUCUUCGGAUUGUAAAGCACUUUAAGUUGGGAGGAAGGGUUGUAGAUUAAUACUCUGCAAUUUUGACGUUACCGACAGAAUAAGCACCGGCUAACUCUGUGCCAGCAGCCGCGGUAAUACAGAGGGUGCAAGCGUUAAUCGGAAUUACUGGGCGUAAAGCGCGCGUAGGUGGUUUGUUAAGUUGGAUGUGAAAUCCCCGGGCUCAACCUGGGAACUGCAUUCAAAACUGACUGACUAGAGUAUGGUAGAGGGUGGUGGAAUUUCCUGUGUACGG
RNAcentral lists this ribosomal RNA (637 nucleotides) under uncultured Pseudomonas sp. RNAcentral's name for it is "bacterial SSU rRNA". It matches the Rfam family "Bacterial small subunit ribosomal RNA", at positions 48 to 680 of the family's 1533-position model. The record is from RNAcentral. Lineage: Bacteria; Pseudomonadati; Pseudomonadota; Gammaproteobacteria; Pseudomonadales; Pseudomonadaceae.